RNAcentral lists this ribosomal RNA (327 nucleotides) under uncultured eukaryote. RNAcentral describes it as "partial 18S ribosomal RNA". It matches the Rfam family "Eukaryotic small subunit ribosomal RNA", at positions 1470 to 1796 of the family's 1831-position model. The record is from RNAcentral.
CCCUUAGAUGUUCUGGGCCGCACGCGCGCUACACUGACGGAUUCAACGAGCUUACAACCUUGGCCGAAAGGUCUGGGUAAUCUCCAAAAUCCGUCGUGAUGGGGAUAGAUUAUUGCAAUUAUUAAUCUUCAACGAGGAAUGCCUAGUAAGCGCAAGUCAUCAGCUUGCGUUGAUUACGUCCCUGCCCUUUGUACACACCGCCCGUCGCUCCUACCGAUUGAAUGGUCCGGUGAAGCGUUUGGACUAUGGUUUUCUGAUGGUCCGCCGUUGGAUUACCGUGGGAAGUUCGUUAAACCUUAUCAUUUAGAGGAAUGAGAAGUCGUAACA